This is a long non-coding RNA of Anarrhichthys ocellatus (wolf-eel), 1178 nucleotides long. RefSeq lists it as uncharacterized. Lineage: Eukaryota; Metazoa; Chordata; Actinopteri; Perciformes; Anarhichadidae. The record is from RefSeq and is a predicted model, not a curated record. The transcript has 2 exons.
CUACUGAUACUGCUAAUACUGCAUCUAACGCUGAGAGUACCUCAAACUACAGAAGUACUGCAGUACAAAACAAUACAUCCUCUGUCAGUAAUAGUUGUGGUAGCAGUAGAAGUACUCGCAGUACUAUUCCACUUGUUCUUUUUCAGCCAAAGUUCUGCUGGAGCUGGCUGAGGGUUCAUCUGUUGCCACGGCGAGCACGCUGUUGGUUGGGGCCGGCCUGUCCUCCCACCUGACGGGCUCUGAGGCUCUGACCCUGCUGGCUCCUCUGGAUGACGCCUUCAAAGGAAGUGACACGACGAUGACACCUGACUUGAAGAAGCUGAUGACGAAUCACAUCCUGAAGGAGCAGCUGUCCUCUAAGUCUCUGUAUCACGGUCAGGAGCUGGAGACUUUGGGAGGCCUCAAACUGCGAGUGUUCGUCUACAGAAACGUAAGAACUCUGAUGACGUUCCUCACGCUGAAGCGUAUUUCCACGUCUCUGUUUUCUCCUGUUUUAUGAACAGUGUUAGCAUUAGCUUCAGUUGGGUUGGAUGGAGAUCGGAUCAUCUGCUCCACGAGUCUCGAUGCCCACUUCAAGACCACGUUAAAAACACAAAACCAAACAAUAACUCUUGUGCACUUCAACAAACGAAAUGCUUUAUAACUGUUUGCACACGGCAGGUUUAUUAAUAAUUCCUGAUGAAAACCUCAAUUUAACAGGAUUACAUUUGAACACGUCGUCAUAAUGUUAUAAUGCUAGAACUUGAACGCAUCAUAAUGUAACUCAAUUCUACGUUAGCCGUUAGCUCCGUUAUUUAUCCAAGCAGGACUGUGCUGCCCACCUGUUGCUAACAGCUAGCAGCUAACGUUGUUCACAAUUUAGCAUUACCACUCAGAGACAUCUUGGUUGGGCUCGAGUCCUGAUCCAGGUACCUACGGUACUCUUGGUCAUGUAGAAAAAACAGUAUCGACUUCUUACAGAGUUUCAGUUGUCCUGACGACCCGUACCGGAGUUCGUCUGUAACCGGACCGAGACCAGCUCUUCAACAAGGUCUUGGUCCGGUUGUUUUGGUCCGCACCAAAGUAGGAUUGCUGUUUUCACAUCUGUCGAAACAAACCUACCAACAGGGGUCGCUUCAACCAAAGUAAAGAGGCAGGUGUGAAAACGUCUCUCGUCUUGUUGGUCAUAUUACAGCUCU